CUUUUCUUUUUCUUUUUCUUCUUUUUUUUAUCUCCUCCUCCUUCCUCCUUCCUCUGUCCUCCUUUCUUCUUCCUGCGUUCUCCUUUUCCUCUCGUUCUUUCUCUCUCUUUCACAGCAAGCAGACGGCACGGGGAGGUGGUGCCGGCGGCAGAGAAGGCCGGUUCUGGCCGAGGGGGCACUGGAUCCGCGCUCUACUGGUCCGGGCAACCUCGUCCCCCUGGGCGACGGCGGCAGGGAGGCAGCCAGCGGGCCUGGCGAC
Molecule: long non-coding RNA, 259 nt
Filed under: Oryza brachyantha (malo sina)
Lineage: Eukaryota; Viridiplantae; Streptophyta; Magnoliopsida; Poales; Poaceae
Description: long non-coding RNA (OBRA_LNC002408)
Source: RNAcentral